This is a long non-coding RNA of Syngnathoides biaculeatus (alligator pipefish), 1625 nucleotides long. RefSeq lists it as uncharacterized. The record is from RefSeq and is a predicted model, not a curated record. The transcript is spliced from 3 exons. NCBI's taxonomy places the organism in Eukaryota, Metazoa, Chordata, Actinopteri, Syngnathiformes, Syngnathidae.
GUGUGUGCAUCCCAAUUAGCGCGAGCGCGCAGGCACCCACACAGCCCGGGCUGGAGCGGCAGGAUCAUGACAUUGCAUGGACUGAGCUCACCACCAGAAAAUAUUGUGCAAGUGUCCAAACAGAUGAAAAAAAAAAGGAGACCAAGCGAAAAGCCCUUUGGUCUACUCCAAUGUAAAUGCCAGCAGACAAACCGCAGUGACAGCAGCAUGGUCAGAGGCGAGGAACCUAUCCUAUCCUGACUGUUGGGAAGAUCUGGAGUACAUCCUGCACUGAUCAUCAUAGUAACAAUAUUCAAAUUUAAUCUCUUUUGUGAUGUAAAGCUAAUGAAGAUGUUCACACAACCAAUCAUGUAAUAAACAACAAAACAAACAAACAUUCAUGAAACAAAGAAAAAAGACUGUACAUAUGAAAUACCAUUUUUAAAUUUGAAUUACAUUUUACACAAAUUACUUAACCUCUGGAUUGCCCAAAAAAGUCAAUUCUUCCUGUUUCUGCCUGAUGUUGAUUUGUAUUCUGUGGCCUGAUAACAAGGCAGAGAAGAAGCAUGCACCGUGCUCGGAUCUCUUCUAUAAACUGGCACUCUGUCAUCAAUAUUGUAGAAGAAUCCAUAGUGCAGGACAAGAAGACUAAUUAGAGCGUGCGCUAAAUAAUUUAACUCCCUCUGAUUUUAUUGAUUUGUCAGUUCAGAACUGUGACUCCGAGCUGUAAAAUUGACUCUGCUGAAAGAGACAUGCUUGUCUGCAGGUUUAUGGCUAUCAGCACAUCGAGGAAGACACACCAUAAUGUACUAAAGCAGCUUACUCAUAUACAGCCAGCACAACACAAAAGAAUUGCACACGUGGACAAAAGCGCCCGUGCUAAUAAAGAGGCCAGUGGAUAAUAUAGUGAAACUAUCAAGUCUGAACAUUAAGCUUCUUAAUUAACAGUAGAGCAAUUAAACAUGCUCAUGUGCUUGAUACACAGCGGAACACACACACUCACACAAACUUGUAAACUAAUUACACACCUCUCCUAAUUAACACAGAUCUUCAUUUCAAGUGCAUGGAGCCCCAGAGAUCGAGUUAGCCACCUGUUACUAAUAUCUCAGCCCAAGCAUGAGGAGUACUCGCGGAUGCGCAAGCGCAUACACAUACACACAUACAUCCAAACAAACACAAGCCUUUCCUUUCACUCACUCACUCACUCACUCACUCACUCACUCACACUCACUCACUCACUCACUCAGAAACAUACACACAGCAGUGUAGUUUAGGACAGGCCUGACUGGCUGGCUUUAAGUGUUUGUUCAAUUGGUUAAACGGCUCAUUGGUUAAUUGCAAAGGGAUUAUGUUCAGAUGACCGGGAAUCAAUCGACCACGCAAGUUAGCGAGCAUGAUUGAGAGAAGAAGCAGAAAAUGAUCUCUUGGGUCGUGGACCAAAGUGACCAAUCAGAGAACAUGCUAAUGGUUCUCAUAAGCCUGAAGAUGAGCUAAGAUCGUGACAGUAAUCAACAAAUAAGUGAUAUUAAUUGAAGACCCCUAUCCAAGACCCCUAUCCAUCCUGAAUUGAUAUUGAAGAUUCUCCAUGUUGAUGAGUUUUUUAAAUAGUGUUGAAUAUAAAGAAAUAAAAGUGACAACCAGAAAAU